GACGAACGCUGGCGGUGUGCUUAACACAUGCAAGUCGAACGGUAAGGCCCUUUCGGGGGUACACGAGUGGCGGACGGGUGAGUAACACGUGAGUAACCUGCCCUCUUCUCUGGGAUAACAGUCGGAAACGGUUGCUAAUACUGGAUAUGAGCUUGCAAGGCAUCUUGUGGGUUGGAAAGAUUUUUUUUGGUUGGGGAUGGACUCGCGGCCUAUCAGCUUGUUGGUGAGGUAGUGGCUCACCAAGGCUUCGACGGGUAGCCGGCCUGAGAGGGCGACCGGCCACAUUGGGACUGAGAUACGGCCCAAACUCCUACGGGAGGCAGCAGUGGGGAAUAUUGCACAAUGGACGGAAGUCUGAUGCAGCAACGCCGCGUGCGGGAUGACGGCCUUCGGGUUGUAAACCGCUUUCAAUUGUGACGAAGCUUUUUUGUGACGGUAGCAGUAGAAGAAGCACCGGCUAACUACGUG
RNAcentral lists this ribosomal RNA (468 nucleotides) under uncultured bacterium. RNAcentral describes it as "partial 16S ribosomal RNA". It matches the Rfam family "Bacterial small subunit ribosomal RNA", at positions 28 to 507 of the family's 1533-position model. The record is from RNAcentral.